GUAGGGAAUCUUCCACAAUGGACGAAAGUCUGAUGGAGCAACGCCGCGUGAGUGAAGAAGGUCUUCGGAUCGUAAAACUCUGUUGUUAGAGAAGAACGUGCAUGAUAGUAACUGAUCAUGUAAUGACGGUAUCUAACCAGAAAGCCACGGCUAACUACGUGCUAGCAGCCGCGGUAAUACGUAGGUGGCAAGCGUUGUCCGGAUUUAUUGGGCGUAAAGGGAACGCAGGCGGUUUUUUAAGUCGGAUGUGAAAGCCUUCGGCUUAACCGAAGAAUAGCAUUGGAAACUGGAAGACUUGAGUGCAGAAGAGGAGGGUGGAAUUCCAUGUGUAGCGGUGAAAUGCGUAGAUAUAUGGAGGAACACCAGUGGCGAAAGCGGCUCUCUGGUCUGUAACUGACGCUGAGGUUCGAAAGCGUGGGUAGCAAACAGGAUUAGAAACCCUGGUAGUCC
RNAcentral lists this ribosomal RNA (450 nucleotides) under uncultured bacterium. RNAcentral's name for it is "partial 16S ribosomal RNA". It matches the Rfam family "Bacterial small subunit ribosomal RNA", at positions 354 to 796 of the family's 1533-position model. The record is from RNAcentral.